Clupea harengus (Atlantic herring) is the source of this 910-nucleotide long non-coding RNA. The record is from Ensembl. Lineage: Eukaryota; Metazoa; Chordata; Actinopteri; Clupeiformes; Clupeidae.
UCAGCUCAGCAGGCUACCGAGACACUCCGAGUCAUGCAAAGCACUUCAGGCUGGCUGCUGGUGGCUGUGGUCGCGGGCCUGAUGGUGGGCAGUCACGCUCGACGUGAGUACUGUCCCAGCAGCAUGCGUCUGGCUCUUGGUUUGCCCGAUCAUCGAAACCUAACUAUCCACAUGCUGGCCGACGAGGCUGUCAGGCUCUCUAAAAGUUGUCAAGCGGUAGACAAGAUCAAUGAGAAGAGUUGCUUUAACAAGACGAAGCUCAGUGACGUGUGCUUCCCUCUCCGCUCCGUCCAGUGGUGAGGAUGAACUCUCCGCUUGCGCCCUCUACGAGGCAAUGGGCAUCUCUGAGAGCUGGCUGGACAGUGUGGGCCACAGAGAGUUGGUGUGCAGGAUGGAGAGGGCGCGCUCUCGCUUCAAAGAUCACCUCAUUCGCAGCGUGUUCUGUAAGUCUCUUAACGUGGCGGUCAUUAAAGUUUACACUACUUUAGAAGAAAAGUGCCUUAUGCUGGAAGUCCUGAACAAACUCACUGAGUAUCUUUACGAGUAUCUGGGAAUCCCGAACCCCUCACGCGUGUCUCACACAUCUGUGCCUUGAGAGGCUGCUUUGGCGUAGAAGUGUGGUUGUUCUGAGCCAGAACAUACCGCUUAUACAAAUGUCCAUGACCGUCUGACAGAAUUGCUCUAUUAGUUUGUGACGAUAGUCAUUCUUUUGCAAGAUCAAAGUAUUAACCAGCUGUGCCUCUUAUGUGCUGUGAUUCGAAUUAAAUCUUUCUUUAGAAUUUAGAGUGUGAGUGUAAUUCUUUCUGUAGAAUCUAGAGUGUGAGUGUAAUUCUCUGAUGUGAGACAAAUCCUACUGUGUCUUCUUUUUGAUGUAUUUUGAUGAUCAUACAGUGGAUUAACAUGUCAAUAA